This 22-nucleotide small nuclear RNA is filed under the name Arabidopsis thaliana (thale cress). Its description in RNAcentral is "snRNA_07758". Lineage: Eukaryota; Viridiplantae; Streptophyta; Magnoliopsida; Brassicales; Brassicaceae. The record is from RNAcentral.
GAAUUUGAGAUGAUUUAACAAU